GACGAACGCUGGCGGCGUGCUUAACACAUGCAAGUCGAACGCUGAAGCCCUUUCGGGGGUGGAUGAGUGGCGAACGGGUGAGUAACACGUGGGUAAUCUGCCCUGCACUCUGGGAUAAGCCUUGGAAACGGGGUCUAAUACCGCAUAGGACACAUCGCCGCAUGGUGUGUGUGUGGACAGUUCCGUCGGUGCAGGUUGAGCCCGCGGCCUAUCAGCUUGUUGGUGGGGUGAUGGCCUACCAAGGCGACGACGGGUAGCGGGACUGAGAGGGUGGCCGGCCACACUGGGACUGAGACACGGCCCAGACUCCUACGGGAGGCAGCAGUGGGGAAUCUUGCGCAAUGGGCGAAAGCCUGACGCAGCAACGCCGCGUGGGGGAUGACGGCCUUCGGGUUGUAAACCUCUUUCGACCGGGACGAAGGGUGACUGACGGUACCGGUAGAAGAAGCACCGGCUAACUACGUGCCAGCCGCCGCAGUAA
This 481-nucleotide ribosomal RNA is filed under the name uncultured bacterium. RNAcentral's name for it is "partial 16S ribosomal RNA". It matches the Rfam family "Bacterial small subunit ribosomal RNA", at positions 28 to 523 of the family's 1533-position model. The record is from RNAcentral.